GUGAUUUUCAGGUAAAAUGGGGGAUUUUCAAUAAGAAAACGCGUGAUUUUCGCUUAAAUGGGGGAUUUGCGAAGAGAAAACGCGUGAUUUUAGAGUAAAAUGGGGGAUUCUCGAAGAGAAAACGCGUGAUUUUUGGGUUAAAUGGGGGAUUUGCGAAGAGAAAACACGUGAUUUUUGAGUUAAAUGGGGGAUUUACGAAGAGAAAUUGCGUCAUUUUCGGUUAAAGGGGGGAUUCUGGAAGAGAAAAAGCGUGAUUUUCAAGAUAAAUGGGGAAUUUACGAAGAGAAAACACGUGAUUUUCGGGAUAAAUGGGGGAAUCCCGAAGAGAAAACGCGUGAUUUUUGCAUAAAUGGGGGAUUCCUGAAGAGAAAAGGCGUGAUUUUCAGGUUAAAAGGAAGAUUUCCAAAGAGAAAAUGCAUGAAUUUCGGGUUAAAUGGAGGAUUCUCGAAGAGAAAAUGUGUGAUUUUCGCUUAAAUGGGGGAUUCUCGAAGAGAAAAUGCGUGAUUUUUGCUUAAAUGGGGACUCUCGAAGAGAAAAUGUGUGAUUUUCGCUUAAAUGGAGGAUUCUCGAAGAGAAAAUGCGUGAUUUUUGCUUAAAUGGGGACUCUCGAAGAGAAAACACAUGAUUUUCACUUAAAUGGAGGAUUCUCGAAUAGAAAAUGCGUGAUUUUUCGGGUUAAAUGGGGGAUUUGCGAAGAGAAAACGCGUGAUUUUCGAUUAAAUGGGGGAUGUGCGAAGAGAAAACGCGUGAUUUUUGGGUUAAAUCGGGGAUUUGCGAAGAGAAAAUGCGUGAUUUUUGCUUAAAUGGGGGAUUUGCGAAGAGAAAACGUGUGUUUUUCGGGUUCAAUGGGGGAUUCUCGAAGAGAAAACGUGUGAUUUUCGGGUUAAAUGGGGGAUUCUCGAAGAGAAAACGCGUGAUUUUUGGCUUAAAUGGGGGAUUUGCGAAGAGAAAACGCAUGAUUUUCGCUUAAAUGGGGGAUUUGCGAAGAGAAAACGCGUGAUUUUCGGUUAAAUGGGGGAUUUGCGAAGAGAAAACGCGUGAUUUUUGCUUAAAUGGGGGAUUCUCGAAGAGAAAACGCGUGUUUUUCGGGUUCAAUGGGGGAUUCUCGAAGAGAAAACGCGUGAUUUUCGGGUUAAAUGGGGGAUUUGCGAAGAGAAAACGCGUGAUUUUCACUUAAAUGGGGGAUUCUCGAAGAGAAAACGCGUGAUUUUCGCUUAAAUGGGGGAUUUGCGAAGAGAAAACGCGUGAUUUUUGCUUAAAUGGGGGAUUUGUGAAGAGAAAACGCGUGAUUUUCGCUUAAAUGGGGGAUUUGCGAAGAGAAAACGCGUGAUUUUCGGGUUAAAUGGGGGAUUUGCGAAGAGAAAAUAUGUGAUUUUUGGGUUAAAUGGGGGAUUUGCGAAGAGAAAACGCGUGAUUUUCGCUUAAAUGGGGGAUUUGUGAAGAGAAAACGCGUGAUUUUCGGGUUAAAUGGGGGAUUUGCGAAGAGAAAACGCGUGAUUUUCGGGUUAACUGGGGGAUUUGCGAAGAGAAAACGCGUGAUUUUCGGUUAAAUGGGGGAUUUGCGAAGAGAAAACGCGUGAUUUUUGCUUAAAUGGGGGAUUUGCGAAGAGAAAACGUGUGUUUUUCGGGUUCAAUGGGGGAUUCUCGAAGAGAAAACGCGUGAUUUUCGGGUUAAAUGGGGGAUUUGCGAAGAGAAAACGCGUGAUUUUCACUUAAAUGGGGGAUUCUCGAAGAGAAAACGCGUGAUUUUCGGGUAACAUGGGGGAUUUGCGAAGAGAAAACGCGUGAUUUUUGCUUAAAUGGGGGAUUUGCGACGAGAAAACGCGUGAUUUUCGGGUUAAAUGGGGGAUUUGCAAAGAGAAAACGCGUGAUUUUCGGGUUAAAUGGGGGAUUUGCGAAGAGAAAACGCGUGAUUUUCGGGUUAAAUGGGGGAUUUGCGAAGAGAAAACGCGUGAUGUUCGCUUAAAUGGGGGAUUUGCGAAGAGAAAACGCGUGAUUUUCGCUUAAAUGGGGGAUUUGCGAAGAGAAAACGCGUGAUUUUUCGCUUAAAUGGGGGAUUUGCGAAGAGAAAACGCGUGAUUUUCGGGUUAAAUGGGGGAUUUGCGAAGAGAAAACGCGUGAUUUUCGCUUAAAUGGGAGAUUUGCAAAGAGAAAACGCGUGAUUUUCGAUUAAAUGGGGGAUGUGCGAAGAGAAAACGCGUGAUUUUUGGGUUAAAUCGGGGAUUUGCGAAGAGAAAAUGCGUGAUUUUUGCUUAAAUGGGGGAUUUGCGAAGAGAAAACGCGUGAUUUUCGGGUUAAAUGGGGGAUUCUCGAAGAGAAAACGUGUGAUUUUCGGGUUAAAUGGGGGAUUCUCGAAGAGAAAACGCGUGAUUUUUGGGUUAAAUGGGGGAUUUGCGAAGCGAAUACGCGUGAUUUUCGCUUAAAUGGGGGAUUUGCGAAGAGAAAACGCGUGAUUUUCGCUUAAAUGGGGGAUUCUCAAAGAGAAAACGCGUGAUUUUCGGGUUAAAUGGGGGAUUUGCGACGAGAAAACGCGUGAUUUUUGCUUAAAUGGGGGAUUUGCAAAGAGAAAACGCGUGAUUUUCGGGUUAAAUGGGGGAUUCUCAAAGAGAAAACGCGUGAUUUUUGGUUAAAUGGGGGAUUCUCGAAGAGAAAACGCGUGAUUUUUGCAUAAAUGGGGGAUUUGCGAAGAGAAAACGCGUGGUUUUCGGGUUAAAUGGGGGAUUUGCGAAGAGAAAACGCGUGAUUUUCGCUUAAAUGGGGGAUUUGCGAAGAGAAAACGCGUGAUGUUCGCUUAAAUGGGGGAUUUGCGAAGAGAAAACGCGUGAUUUUCGCUAAAAUGGGGGAUUUGCGAAGAGAAUACGCGUGAUUUUUCGCUUAAAUGGGGGAUUUGCGAAGAGAAAACGUGUGAUUUUCGCUUAAAUGGGAGAUUUGCAAAGAGAAAAUGCGUGAUUUUCGGGUUAAAUGGAAAAUUCUCGAAGAGAAAACGCGUGAUUUUUGCUUAAAUGGGGGAUUUGCGAAGAGAAAACGCGUGAUUUUUGCUUAAAUGGGGGAUUUGCGAAGAGAAAAUGCGUGAUUUUUAAGUUAAAGUGGGGAUUCUAAAGAGGAAACGCGUGAUUUUCGGGUUAAAUGGGGGAUUUGCGAAGAGAAAACGCGUGAUUUUCGCUUAAAUGGGGGAUUCUCGAAGAGAAAACGCAUGAUUUUUGGGUUAAAUGGGGGAUUCUCGAAGAGAAAACGCGUGAUUUUCGGCUUAAAUGGGGGAUUUGCGAAGAGAAAACGCAUGAUUUUCGCUUAAAUGGGGGAUUUGCGAAGAGAAAACGCGUGAUUUUUGCUUAAAUGGGGGAUUUGCGAAGAGAAAACGCGUGAUUUUCGGUUAAAUGGGGGAUUUGCGAAGAGAAAACGCGUGAUUUUCGCUUAAAUGGGGGAUUCUCGAAGAGAAAACGCGUGAUUUUCGCUUAAAUGGGGAGAUUAUGCGAAGAGAAAACGCGUGAUUUUCGCUUAAAUGGGGGAUUUGCGAAGAGAAAACGCUUGAUUUUCGCUUAAAUGGGGGAUUUGCGAAGAGAAAACGCGUGAUUUUCGCUUAAAUGGGGGAUUCUCGAAGAGAAAACGCGUGAUUUUGGCUUAAAUGGGGGAUUUCGAAGAGAAAACGCGUGAUUUUCGGGUUAAAUGGGGAUUUGCGAAGGAGAAACGCGUGAUUUUCGCUUAAAUGGGGGAUUUGCGAAGAGAAAACGCGUGAUUUUCGCUUAAAUGGGGGAUUUGCAAAGAGAAAACGCGUCAUUUUCGAGUUAAAUGGGGGAUUUGCGAAGAGAAAACGCGUGAUUUUCGCUUAAAUGGGGGAUUCUUGAAGAGAAAACGAGUGAUUUUCGGGUUAAAUGGAAGAUUUCUGAAGAGAAAACGCGUGAUUUUCGGGUUAAAUGGGGGAUUCUCGAAGAGAAAACACGUGAUUUUUAGUUAAAUGGGGUAUUAGCGAAGAGAAAACGCGUGAUUUUCGCUUAAAUGGGGGAUUUGCGAAGAGAAAACCGUGAUUUUCGAGUUAAAAGGUGGAUUUGCAAAUAGAAAACGCGUGAUUUUCGGGUUAAAUGGGGGAAUCUCGAAGAGAAAACGCGUGAUUUUCCGGUUAAAUGGGGGAUUUGCAAAGAGAAAACGCGUCAUUUUCGGGUUAAAUGGGGAUUUGCGCAGAGGAUAUGAGUGAUUUUCGGGUUAAAUGGAAGAUUCUCCAAGAGAAAACGCAUGAUUUUCGGGUUAAAUGGCGGAUUUGCGAGGAGGAUAUGCGUGAUUUUCGAGUUAAAUGGGGGAUUUGCGAAGAGAAAACACGUCAUUUUCGAGUUAAAUGGGGGAUUUGCGAAGAGAAAACGCGUCAUUUUCGAGUUAAAUGGGGGAUUUGCAAAGAGAAAAUGCGUCAUUUUCGAGUUAAAUGGGGGAUUUGCGAAGAGAAAACGCGUGAUUUUCGCUUAAAUGGGGGAUUCUUGAAGAGAAAACGAGUGAUUUUCGGGUUAAAUGGAAGAUUUCUGAAGAGAAAGCGUAUGAUAUUCGGGUUAAAUGAGGGAUUCUUGAAGAGAAAAUGAGUGAUUUUCGGGUUAAAUGGGGGAUUCUCGAAGAGAAAACGCGUGAUUUUCGCUUAAAUGGGGGAUUUGCGAAGAGAAAACGCGUGAUUUUCGCUUAAAUGGGGGAUUUGCGAAGAGAAAACGCGUGAUUUUCGCUUAAAUGGGGGAUUUGCGAAGAGAAAACGCGUGAUUUUCGGGUUAAAUGGGGGAUUUGCGAAGAGAAAACGCGUGAUUUUCGGCUUAAAUGGGGGAUUUGCGAAGAGAAAACGCGUGAUUUUCGCUUAAAUGGGGGAUUUGCGAAGAGAAAACGCGUGAUUUUCGGCUUAAAUGGGGGAUUUGCGAAGAGAAAACGCGUGAUUUUCGCUUAAAUGGGGGAUUUGCGAAGAGAAAACGCGUGAUUUUCGGUUAAAUGGGGGAUUUGCGAAGAGAAAAACGCGUGAUUUUCGCUUAAAUGGGGGAUUUGCGAAGAGAAAACGCGUGAUUUUCGGUUAAAUGGGGGAUUUGCGAAGAGAAAACGCGUGAUUUUCGCUUAAAUGGGGGAUUUGCGAAGAGAAAACGCAUGAUUUUUGGUUAAAUGGGGGAUUUCCGAAGAGAAAAUGCGUGAUUUUCGGUUAAAUGGGGGAUUUGCGAAGAGAAAACGCGUGAUUUUCGCUUCAAUGGGGGAUUCUUGAAGAGAAAACGAGUGAUUUUCGAGUUAAAAGGUGGAUUUGCAAAGAGAAAACGCGUGAUUUUCGGGUUAAAUGGGGGAUUUGCGAAGAGAAAACACGUGAUUUUCGGGUUAAAUGGGGGAUUUGCGAAGAGAAAACGCGUGAUUUUCGCUUAAAUGAAGGAUUUGGAAGAGAAAACGCGUGAUUUUCGGGUUAAAUGGGGGAUUCUCGAAGAGAAAACGCGUGAUUUUCGGUUAAAUGGGGGAUUUGCGAAGAGAAAACGCGUGAUUUUCGGGUUAAAUGGGGGAUUUGCGAAGAGAAAACGCGUGAUUUUCGCUUAAAUGGGGAUUUCGAAGAGAAAACGCGUGAUUUUCGCUUAAAUGGGGGAUUUGCGAAGAGAAAACGCGUGAUUUUCGGGUUAAAUGGGGGAUUCUGCGAAGAGAAAACGCGUGAUUUUCGGGUUAAAUGGGGGAUUCUCGAAGAGAAAACGCAUGAUUUUCGGUUAAAUGGGGGAUUUGCGAAGAGAAAACGCGUGAUUUUCGGUUAAAUGGGGGAUUUGCGAGAGGAAAACGCGUGAUUUUCGCUUAAAUGGGGGAUUUGCGAAGAGAAAACGCGUGAUUUUCGAUUAAAUGGGGGAUUUGCGAAGAGAAAACGCGUGAUUUUCGCUUAAAUGGGGGAUUUGCAAAGAGAAAACGCGUCAUUUUCGAGUUAAAUGGGGGAUUUGCGCAGAGGAAUACU
Long non-coding RNA from Gallus gallus (chicken), 5926 nucleotides. Lineage: Eukaryota; Metazoa; Chordata; Aves; Galliformes; Phasianidae. The record is from Ensembl.